Molecule: ribosomal RNA, 775 nt
Filed under: uncultured Neocallimastigales
Lineage: Eukaryota; Fungi; Neocallimastigomycota; Neocallimastigomycetes; Neocallimastigales
Description: partial large subunit ribosomal RNA
Rfam family: Eukaryotic large subunit ribosomal RNA
Source: RNAcentral
GUACACGCUGUGACUAGCAUAUCAAUAAGCGGAGGAAAAGAAACUAACAAGGAUUCCCCUAGUAACGGCGAGUGAAGCGGGAAGAGCUCAAAUUUGAAAUCUUAAAGGGUUUCCCUUUACGAAUUGUAGUUUAAAGAAGUGUUUUCUGUUGAGGUUUUGGUAAAAGUUCUUUGGAAUAGGACAUCAUAGAGGGUGAGAAUCCCGUAUUAUGACCUUUACUUUCAACUUUGUGAUACACUUUCAAAGAGUCGGAUUGUUUGGGAAUGCAGUCCAAAAUGGGUGGUAAAUUUCAUCUAAAGCUAAAUAUUGGCGAGAGACCGAUAGCGAACAAGUACCGUGAGGGAAAGAUGAAAAGAACUUUGAAAAGAGAGUUAAACAGUACGUGAAAUUGUCAAAGGGGAAGCGUUUGACACCAGUGUUGUUUUUCUGAAAAUCAAUUAAAGAACUGUUUAUGCUAAGUUGUUUAGACUUUAUCAGCUAACUGUUUAGUUUUGAGCUUUUCUUUAAUGCACUUUUCAGUUAACAAGUCAACAUCAAUUUCUUUUGCUGUAAAAAAGCUUGAGGAAGGUGGCUUGAGAUUCGUCUUAAGUGUUUAUAGCCUCUUGCCUAUGCAGUCGGAGAGAUUGAGGUCUGCAGCGUAGAUCCUUCGGGGCUAAAUGCAUUUGUGCUAAGUUAUAGCAUUUUAUAGACAACUUGUUGACUAUGAUUUGUCUUGUAGCUUACUCGCUUAUGUUAUUUUACCUACGCUUAGGAUGUUGACGAGACUGUCGAUCUC